UUCCGUAGGUGAACCUGCGGAAGGAUCAUUAAUGAAACUUCAAAGUCGGCCUUGUUGUGCUGGUGUUUCACUACACAUGUGCACGCUCGGUCGCAAAUCCACACACACCUGUGCAUCUAUGACUCGAGGUUGUAACGACUGAGAGUAACUUUUUUAUACACUCUGAAUGUAACGGAAUGUCUUUUUUUGUACAAUGUACAUUAUAAACAACUUUCAACAACGGAUCUCUUGGCUCUCGCAUCGAUGAAGAACGCAGCGAAAUGCGAUAAGUAAUGUGAAUUGCAGAAUUCAGUGAAUCAUCGAAUCUUUGAACGCACCUUGCACCCUUUGGUAUUCCGAAGGGUACGCCCGUUUGAGUGUCAUUGUAAUCUCACUUCUACGACUUUUUUGGUUGUGUGAAUGUGGACUUGGAUGUUGCCGUGUCAUUACGGCUCGUCUCAAAUGCCUGAGUGUACCCUGCCUCGCAGCGUAUCCGGUGUAAUAAAUGUUUCACCAGAGUUGGUCGCAAGACCGCGCUUUUGC
RNAcentral lists this ribosomal RNA (522 nucleotides) under uncultured Sebacinales. RNAcentral describes it as "eukaryotic LSU rRNA". The stretch from base 209 to 362 matches the Rfam family "5.8S ribosomal RNA". Lineage: Eukaryota; Fungi; Basidiomycota; Agaricomycetes; Sebacinales. The record is from RNAcentral.